GACGAACGCUGGCGGCGUGCUUAACACAUGCAAGUCGAGCGGUAAGGCCCUUUCGGGGGUACGACGAGCGGCGAACGGGUGAGUAACACGUGGGUGACCUGCCCUCCAGCUCUGGGAUAAGCCUGGGAAACGUGGGUCUAAUACUGGAUAUGACUCCACGGUGCAUGUCGUGGGGUGGAAAGCCUUGUGCGGCUGAGGAUGGGCCCGCGGCCUAUCAGCUUGUUGGUGGGGGUGANGG
RNAcentral lists this ribosomal RNA (238 nucleotides) under uncultured bacterium. Its description in RNAcentral is "partial 16S ribosomal RNA". It matches the Rfam family "Bacterial small subunit ribosomal RNA", at positions 28 to 263 of the family's 1533-position model. The record is from RNAcentral.